GACUGUAAUGCACAGAACCCGCUGGGCACCCAGCCCCAGUUAAGGCUCCUCACGCUCCAAGAGGCAAGGGGCUGUGGAUCAAAGGCUCCUGCAUCUGGGAAAGAUACUCCGCUCCUCGGCGAGCCCUGGUGUGGGGGCUGUAAAGAGGUCCAGGACCUCCUGUAUAAAGCAGGCGUCCUCUGACUUGAUAAAUAUGAGUCUGGAACAAAAUUAAAAGGAAACAACAUCUGCUGGAAAGAGGAAUUAUUUAUUACUGUAGUUUCUUGCCAACAUUGAACUCUGAGGAAAUCCACUAAAUGGAGA
This is a long non-coding RNA of Lontra canadensis (Northern American river otter), 303 nucleotides long. RefSeq lists it as uncharacterized. The record is from RefSeq and is a predicted model, not a curated record. NCBI's taxonomy places the organism in Eukaryota, Metazoa, Chordata, Mammalia, Carnivora, Mustelidae. The transcript has 3 exons.